This is a long non-coding RNA of Trachemys scripta elegans, 749 nucleotides long. RefSeq lists it as uncharacterized. The record is from RefSeq and is a predicted model, not a curated record. Lineage: Eukaryota; Metazoa; Chordata; Testudines; Emydidae. The transcript has 3 exons.
UAUAGCGCUAAGGACCCUGAAAGUGAAAAUGACUAUAAACAAAAGUGAAACAGACAUCAUUGAUUUUUCGUUGUUCAAGGUGAGGGACAAGCAAAUUGGGUUUUUAAAAUCCUUUCACUUUUAAUACUAUAAGGGCUUGUUAGUAAGGUAGGUAAAUAAAUGUGUGACUUUUAAGUGGACAGUGUGCCUUUAAAGUGAUUAUAAAUCAUUACAAGUCCAAUACUGUUUCCCAGCAGUUACAGCAUAUGUUCUUAUUGCAUUAACUUCUCUAAUCAAAAUAGUUGAGGAGGAAUGGAAAGAGAAUGCAGAAUGGAAAGAGAAAAUGGAUCAACCAUUAAACUAGGACUGAAGUGGGAGGACUUGUUAGUACUGGACCGUUGUAAGCCAGCUCUAAGGCAUGUUGCCCCAGUGCUUAACAGAGGCUUCUCUCAACAUGACAGGGUUGUGUAAUUUCACAGGUGGAUGAGAAAACCCGGAAUUAAAGAUCAUCCUUCUGGAACAAGUCAUGAGGCUACCUUGGAGAGCAGGUCAAUUAGGAAAGUAGCUUCACCAACACAGAGAAGGGUGUUCGUUUUUUACAUCUGGUUCAAGUGCAUCUGGGCAAAAAGCACAAGAGUGUGUUUGAAAACAACUUGCGGACGGAAGAGAAAAUGAGAAAGGUAGUCUGCUGUAUGUUUAAAGGGGCAGCACUGAACCAGUCCAAAGAUUUUUUUAUAUUGUAUCGGUGUGUUUGAGUGGCAGGCAGUGUU